RNAcentral lists this ribosomal RNA (301 nucleotides) under uncultured bacterium. RNAcentral's name for it is "partial 16S ribosomal RNA". It matches the Rfam family "Bacterial small subunit ribosomal RNA", at positions 509 to 807 of the family's 1533-position model. The record is from RNAcentral.
CAGCAGCCGCGGUAAUACAGAGGGUGCGAGCGUUAAUCGGAUUUACUGGGCGUAAAGCGUGCGUAGGCGGCUUUUUAAGUCGGAUGUGAAAUCCCUGAGCUUAACUUAGGAAUUGCAUUCGAUACUGGGAAGCUAGAGUAUGGGAGAGGAUGGUAGAAUUCCAGGUGUAGCGGUGAAAUGCGUAGAGAUCUGGAGGAAUACCGAUGGCGAAGGCAGCCAUCUGGCCUAAUACUGACGCUGAGGUACGAAAGCAUGGGGAGCAAACAGGAUUAGAUACUCCCGUAGUCCCUGUCUCUUAUAC